GUACUGUCAUUAUCAUCCCUAGUAAAAGAGCUUUACAACCCUAAGGCCUUCAUCACUCACGCGGCAUUGCUGGAUCAGGGUUUCCCCCAUUGUCCAAUAUUCCCCA
RNAcentral lists this ribosomal RNA (106 nucleotides) under uncultured bacterium. RNAcentral's name for it is "partial 16S ribosomal RNA". The record is from RNAcentral.